GAUAAAAAAAAUUAGUUACACAUACAGAUUGUUGGAUACAUAGGUGUUCUGUGUCACACUAUUGGUAAACUAUUGAUCUGGACAAAUGCAGUCUAAGCUUCUGACUUUCUCUGUUCUCUUUUAUUUUCCUCUUUCACAUAUAACUGUAUUUAACUUCUGCUUUUGCCAAGAUAGUUUGUGGGAGGUUUUUUUUUUUCUUCCCCAAAUACCAGCCUUCUUUUUCUCUGAGUCAAAUAAGGUCACGAAACAGAGUAUCUUAACACAACUCUGGUCCUGAAUAAAAGAAUCCAGUUUGUAGAAAUUCCAUUAGUGGGAAAAAAAUAUGAGUUUGAUAUUCAGCCACUUGGUAAUUGGGUGGUGUUGGUCUGCACUCCUAUUCCUUCCUCUGUAAAAUAGAGAUAAUAAUACCUCCUACUUGUGAGAAGUGGAUAAUGUAUGGAGUAUAUGUGGCACAGUGCUUAGUCAGUAUUCAUUUCCUUUUCUUUAUGGCCUUCUCCUCUUCUGGGGACCUCUAUGUGUUUGCUGGUGCUGCCAUCUGAAAAAUUUGGGUGAGAUCUGAAGGAUAGAUGAGUUGGAAUUGACAGACAAUGAGUAAGCAAGAGUUGAGGCUGCCUCCCUGAAGUGGACAGAUGCAUAUUAACAUUAUUCUUCGUAGGAUGUUUAAACAUAGCCCCCUGUUUUCUUGCAUCUGGUGUGUGUGUGUGUGUGUGUGUGUGUGUGUGUGUGUGUGUGUGUAUGUACUGUGUACACAUACAUACACACACACCCAGAAAAUCUCAGUAAUUCCAUUCUCCCUUGGCUUGGGUUCUCCUAAUCCUAGACAGCAGGGCUGAAGAAGGAGGAGAGGAAGAUAGGGAUAUUGGGGGAAGAGCUGAUGAAAAGGUGCAUUAUUAAGCUGGUUGUAUGUGGUAUCAAGUGUGUCUGUUACCUAAUCUCAGGGGACUUUCUGAGAGACCAUAAAAACAGUUGCUUCUAAAGUCAGUCCUUCCUGGGCAGAAAAGAGGGAGAAUUUAUCCAUGUGCUUCCAUUUCUUAGUGGUCAGAAGUUUGCUUCCUAGGACAUUAAUUCUUUUGCACUUCCAGGUUGUGCUAUGUGGUACCUAGCAGGUCCCACGUCAUCUCAUCCUUCAGCAUCAACUGGAGUAGGAGGCAAGAUGUGCAUUGUGUGGACAUGUGUAAAAUUCUGUUAGGUGGUGCCCACAUUAGGUUUGUCAGAGUCCAACCAGAGUUUGUCAAUAUGUCGGCUAUUGGUGCUGGAAUAGUUUGGUAACUACAGAGGUCGAGAGAAUCUGAAGCAACCAUAAGUGGUAUAUGAAACAAUCCACCCCCUUGCACUAUUCACAUCAACCCAUGUGCUGUCAUGAUACCUGUCUACCACAUACAGUGAUCUGUCUCUUUCUUUUGUUUGGUGAGAACAGCAUGCUGUCAGCUUCAAUUGAUUCCAAGAGUAUAAUAAAUAUCAUCUCCCUUCUUCUCCAUCUAUUCUAGAAUUCCAUCACCUUCAGUUGCUUGCCUGCUGGAAUGACAUGGAUUCUCAUCCCUGAGGAAGUAAUUCUGGAUUCCUUCUCAUGAUAAUGAAGAUCAAUUACCCUUGAGAAGACAAUAACUCCUUUCUUGCCUAUUGUUUCCUGGUAUAAGGAGCUCAAAGUGAACAGGAUUCUGCACUGCCUGCAGCCCUGGGAGACAGAGCAAGUUCAGAAACCUGGUUUAUGCUAGUUUUACAAAGGAGAAAACAGGAUUGGAGAAAUUAAAUUGGAGAAUUUGUGGCACAUUGACUGAACAAAACACAGUCUUGUUCUUAUGACUCCUUGCCGGUGUGAUGUGGAAUUACACUCUCCUGAGGACAUGGUCAGUACUUAAAGGCCCUUCCUUCUCAAUGUCCAGAGAAAGCUGUUUCCAAGCUCUUCCUCACCAGCCAUGGUGGCCUCCUGGUCUUUGCUGGGAAUCUGGGAGGCAGACACAAUAGCUAGACAACCUCAAGGAUGGCUAGAAUUCUGUUCCUUCUGGCUUACCAAAGGGCAAACCCAGGGUCAGUAGGUCCUUCCCAGUGUUGGAUGGUCACUUUCAACCAGCCCACAGAUACACUGUGGAAGCAAACCUCAAGAGCAGCAAAGCCUGUACAAAGAGGUAAUUCAUACACAAGGGUAGUUCUGUGGUAGUUGGUAGACCCCCAGUGGGACAUGUAAGUUCAUAACCAGCCUGAAUUGAGUUAUGAGAAAGUUAAAAUCAUCACCAUCAUCAUUAGUGAUACAAAGAUGGUAGGGAAGAAGAGAGCUGUUCUGAGUUAUUCUUGUUUCCCAGCAUUUUGUGAGGUGUCCUAUCUCUAGGCCUUUGUAUAUACUUCUCUCUCCUGUCAUGUCUCUCUUCCACCUAGGAAAAUCUUUUAACACUGUCAAGAUUCAACUCAAAUGUUCUUUCUUCCAAGAAGCUUUCUUUGACUCCCUUCACUUUAGUGAAGGAGGUACACUCUCCUUUGUAUGCCUUGGGGCUUGGUGCCUGUCCUAGUUUUUGUCUUCCUCUAUUAUACUCUAUUAUACUCUAAUUGAUACUCUAUUAUAUCAUGUACCUUCCUGUUCUCAGCCUUAGAUGAAGAGUAUCUUGAGGAGCUCAGUUGAACUGUUGAUUCAUCUCUACAUCCCAGGACAUAGUACAGUGACCGGCAUGGAGAAGGAGAAGUGGCUCAUAAUGAAUAUUCCAUUAAUGAGCAAGGAAUGAGUAAAAGAAGAAUGAAGAGAGACCAGCCUCCAGAGGAAACUUUGAAGUUUCCUCUCACCCUAUUCCUGUAUCCCCCAGUUGGCCUGGGUUGCCACACCCUUUGUGGGAUCUGUGCUAUUUCUAGCCCAUUUUUCAAAAACAUUUUUAUUAUAGGUUGAAACAUGCAACUUUGAAAAUUGUCUUUCAAGUUCAUGGCCUUCAACCCUAGAAUUAGGUUGCAAAUAUGUGUCUUUGGUUGCUAGUAAUGAAAAAAAGAUUGAAUGGGGAGAACUUUCCAUGGGAAGGACAUAUAAUAAUGUUACAAAGAGCAGUCUUUAUAACAUUGCAAGGGAAUAUCAUAUUUUUUUCCAAAUGCUUUACAAGGAUGUUGGGGAAGAGGAUGACCUUAGGCCUCACCAAUUCUUUCUCUAUGGUUCUACGUAUUGACUUGCAAAGAGGCCACACUGCAUUGCUCUUCGCCAAGAUAAGCAUUUAGAAAUGCAUUUAUUCAUGUCCUGCCUCCCAUAUUUGUGAAACAAACUCAUUUCAUAGUUCCUUCUUAUCUCUGAGCAAUGAAUUUACUGAGAUAAACAGAUAUAUAGCAUGUCCUGAAACCUCCCACAAUGCACCUCUUUCACAAACUUGAUCUCCCUUUCUCCUAACAUACAAACCUCUUCUAGAAAUAUACUUGUUCCACUGUUAGUGUUCCCUGGAAAGCAGUCCUACCUCAAAUUCAACACACACCCAGAUAUUUUUGGAAAAUUUUUGUUGUCUUGUACCUGAUUAGGUUUGGUAGUAUUGAAGGGUGUUAAAAUUUAGCCUCCCUUAGUGCAUCAGUUCAGGAUAAAUCCACAUUUUGUGCUCUCACAUAAAAACUUAAUGCAGUGUAGACCCUUGUGUGUGUGACUGUUUCUUCCAUGACCUUGAAGGUAGAGGGUGGGUCUAGUUCCCUUCCUGAUACCCACGGCCUAAUUCUGGGCCUGACAUCGAAAAGGUACUUGAUAAAAUGUGACUUUUAACUUUGAGCCCUUACAAGCACAACAUGACUGUGUUUAGCACCUGAAGGGCCAGUGUUAGCAGAAGGAUGAAAAAUUGGGGAUGUUUGGGCAGCAUUUGAGAAUUAGUGGUGGCCAGGAAGAUCUCUUAAAUGAGGAAAGGCAAGGAAGCUAGUGGAAGACAGUUAAAUGGGGCAGAGGAACUCGAAAAGGGGAAUAGACAAAGAACCACUGUCAGGCUGGGCUCUUCCUCCUUACCUGUCCUCAGCUCCAGGACCCAUUGAACUUCUUUGGGUUUUUCUUUGUUGUCCCACCUGCUCCAAUUCUGGCCAGGAAAGUUGCAGUGCAGGAUGAGUAAUUGUAAGCAGGUGGAGAACAGUAACUGAAUGUAAAGUUUAGGAAUUUAUUUAGUCAAGAAUUUUGAAGUUAUGUUAAAAUGUCAGGCUGUACUAUAAUAUUUCACUGCUCAAGGAGUAGACCUUCUAAACGACUAAUCAUCUUUCCCCUGUAAAAUGUAGUAUGCUCCAGUGGAAACAGCCCAUGAACAACAGCCUGGUGUUCCAUUUCUCCAAGGUCUGCCAGAAUUGCUGCUGGGUUGAUUUGGAGGAUUGGCUGGGUUGGGCUAAGGUUAAGCCAGGAAGAUUUUUUUCAAAGUGGCAUUUGGGGGUAACUACGGUAUGUUCCCAAACAACAGAUGAUGAAGACAAAGAGAUGUGAUCGUAAAGGUAUGUGACCUCAAAGGUAUCUAACUUUUUUCUUUUGCCAGAUUCUUAUUUGUCAAAAUAGCCCAGAGAAUGUCAACCAAAGGUCAUGUUGGAAGAAAAAUUACAAUUUGCCAAAUUUUUUUUUAACUUCAGUUUUUUAAGAAGUAGGAAAUAAACAGUGGUUAGACUGCAGGUGUCUUUUUGUUUAAUUGUGAAGACACUUUUAGAAUAUCUUAAAUGCCUUCCAAAAUGUGGUAGUUAAUAUUUAAAGUAUAAAUAUUUAAGCAAAAUAAGAAACUUGCCUAUUGGGCAAAAUGAGAAAUUUUGAACUCUUCAUUUGAGUUCAGAGUGUACAAUCUGUAACUCUGUACCCGAGUUCUUGGCAUGUAGUGGGAGUUCAUAAACAUUUGGCGAGUGAGUGGGGAAGCUAAAAACCAACUGCAUUAUGCAAUCCUGCUCUGCUAUUUCAGUUGGAAGCAGCUAGUUGGUUAUACCUAAUGGGGCCUUAGCAUUGUGAUUCUUUUGCUAUAAAAGUAGAUAGAGUGAGAAGACAGGCACAACUUUAAACUACCUAUUCUCAACAGCAAGAAGACUAUUUUAUUAGAAAUGUGUGUGUGUACUUGUGUUUGUAGGAAAAGCUUACAAUGCAACAGAACCAGCUUUCUGAAAAUUGGCCAUGCAAUCUUUGUAAUCAGUACUUCAUGUGCUUGUCGUUGUUACAAAUGGGUGAGCAGAUAACUCCAAGAUUUUAUAAGGCCACAGUUAUUUAAUUAAACUAAUGGUGGUAUCAUUUUGCAUUUUUCUGGAUUGCAAAGUCAUAUAUUUUUUAAUUGUACAAAAUAAAAAAGCAGAAAGAAAUGAAAACUCAGAGUCACUACUAUUGAUACGUUUUUAGAGUAUUUUUAGUGCAAAGAUAUGUAAUAGGCAGAAUUCCAAGAUGGGGUUAUUCUUGUGAUUACGUGAUGUUACCUGGAAAAAGGAAUUUUAUAGAGGUAGUUAAGUUACUAAUCAGUUGACCUUAAAAUAAGGACAUUAUUCAGGUGUGGGCCUAACCUAAUGAUAGGAAUCCUUUAAAAGCAAAGUUUUCUUUCCCUAGUUGAAGAAGUAAAAGUCAGAGAUUCAAAACAUGAGAGGAAUUCAACAUUCCAGCCAACAUUGCUGGCUUGAAGAUGGAGAGAUCCACAAGUUGAAGAAUUUGAGUGAUGGGGUGCCUGGGUGACUCAGUCAGUUUAGCAUCCAACUCUUGAUUUCAGCUCAGGUCAUGAUCUCAUGGUUCCUGAGAUUGAGCCCCACAUUGGGCUCUGCACUGACAACUCGGAACCUACUUGAGAUUUUCUUCUUCCCUCUCUCUGCCCCCACUUGCGCGCACAUACUCUCCCUCUCUCUCUCUCAAAAUAAAUAAUUAAAAAAAAAAAAAAGAAUGUCAGUGAUAUGUAGGAGUUGGAAGUUACUCCUAGCCAACAGCCAGAAAGUGAAUGGAGACCUCAGUCUUACAGCCAGAAAGAACUGGAUUCUUCUAACAACGUGAAUGAACUUGAAAACAAAUUCUCAUACAGAGCCUCCAGCUUAGCCAACAUCUUGAUUUCAGUAUUUGAGAUCCUAAGCAGAGGACGUAGCUAAAGCACAGGUCAUAGCUAAGACAGGUCUAACCCAGACUACAGACCCACAGAAACUGUGUGAUGGUAAGGGUGGGUUCUUUACAGCUGCUAAGUUUGUGGUAAUUAUGUCACAAUAAAAGAGUAAUAUAGAUUUUCCAGUACCUGAAAGUGAGGUCUGCCCCACAAUAAUAAAUAUCUGAAGUCUGGAAGUGGCUUUGGAAUAGCUGGAGGCUGGAAGAAUUUUGAGGAAUAUGAUAGGAGAGAACUAAAAUUGCCUUGAACAGACUGUUAGCAGAAACAUGGACACUGAAGAUGCAGCUGAUGAAAGUUCAGAAGGAAUUGAGCAUUAUAGUGAAAACUUAAAUUGUUUUGGAGAAAUCAUAAAUCACCAUGAACAGACUGUUAUUAGGAACUUGGGCUUUGAGAACACUGCUGGUGAAGACUCAGAAGGAAGUACAAAGCAUGUUAUUGGAACUGGAGGAAGGAGGAAAAUCCUUAUGUGGUGGCAGAAAGCUUAGAAAAAAUUGUAGCCUCUAGUUAUGUCAAAAGCAGAAUUUUGUGACAACUUGGAUAUAAUAGCUAAGGAAAUUUCCAAGCAAAGGGUUGAAGGAGCUUGUUUGUUUCUUCUUGCUGCUUAUACUAAAAUCUAAGAAAAAAGAAGUAAUUUAAUUUUUGUUAAGCUUUUAUUUUAAUUCUAGUAAGCUCACAUAUGUGUUAUAUUAGUUUCAGGUGUACAAUAUAGUGAUUCAACAGUUCCAUACAUCACACUUUGCUCAUCACAACAGGUGCACUCCUUAAUUGAAAAAAGAAAUAUUUUGAAGGGAAAAAAAAUCCUGGUAAACAUAAAAGUCUGGAUAAUUGUGAAAAGUUUCAACCAUUCCAGAUGGUAAAAGAUUCUAAAUGUCAGAAGUGGCUUCUGAAAACAUGGUAUAGAGGGUUGUGUGAUUAUUCAUCUUUUUGUCAAAACAACAGAAAGGCCAAUAGGUCAAAGUAUUCAGUCAUACAUAAGACUCUUCUAGGAGAUUAAGGGUGUGAUACAGGGCUCCCAUCAAUCAAACCAGAGGGUGUCUGAGAAACCUAGGGGUAUUGUCCCUCAGCCAUCUGAGCAGAAACCAGAGAUGGAGAAGAGAUACUUCAAAAAGAUUUGUGGGUGUUGCUUUUGUUUAAUGGCGUGAAACUGUGAAAUUCAUGCAAGGAUAAAUAAUAUAAUGGGUUGAAUAAUUCCUCCCUAAAAUCAUGUUUACCUAAAAUCUGUGAAUGUGACCUUAUUUGGAAAUAUAAUCAAGCUAAGAUGAGGUCACGAUUAGCAUAGACCCUAAUCUAAUGACUGGUGUCCUCAUAAGAAGAAGAAAAGUUGGACAGUAUUCUAAGUAUUCUGGUAGCAUUCUAAGUUAGUCCUUGAUCUCUGCCCUCUGGUGUUACUUUCUGAUUUUAUUACAUAGGAAUAGGGAUUUUACAGAUGAAAUUAAGGUUACUAAUCAGUUGACCUUAAGAGAGUGAGGGUAUCCAGGUACGCCUGUCCUAAUCACAUAAACCUUUUAAGAUGAAAGUUUUUCUCUGAGUGGUCGGAGAAGCAGAAGUCAGAGAUUCAAAGCAUGAGAAGAAUUCAACUUACCAUUGGUGGCUUGAAGACGGAGGGAGCCACAUGUUGAGGAUUGUGAGAAACCUCUGGAGUUGACAGUGACCCCUGGCCAACAGCCCCCAAUAAGAAGAUGGAGACUUUAGUGCUACAACCACAAGAACUAGAUUCUGCCAACAACCUGAAUGGGCUAGGAAACAGAUUCUUCCCUAGAACCUCCUCAUGAGAAGACAGCUCAGCUAACAUCUUGAUUUCAUACAAUCUCUGAGAACCUCAACAGAGGGCCACCUAAAGUGUAUUGGACACCUGACCCCUGGAAAUUGUGAGAUAUAAAUUUGUGUUGUUUACAGUUAUGUUUGUGGUAAUUUGUUACACACCAGUAGAACAAUAAUGUGAGUGUAUGUGUGUAUAAACACACACACACACACACAC
Long non-coding RNA from Acinonyx jubatus (cheetah), 8001 nucleotides. RefSeq lists it as uncharacterized. NCBI's taxonomy places the organism in Eukaryota, Metazoa, Chordata, Mammalia, Carnivora, Felidae. The record is from RefSeq and is a predicted model, not a curated record. The transcript is spliced from 4 exons.